This 75-nucleotide transfer RNA is filed under the name Vicugna pacos (alpaca). RNAcentral's name for it is "tRNA-Ala (AGC) (tRNA-Ala-AGC-156-1)". It matches the Rfam family "tRNA". Rfam says of the family: Transfer RNA (tRNA) molecules are approximately 80 nucleotides in length. Lineage: Eukaryota; Metazoa; Chordata; Mammalia; Artiodactyla; Camelidae. The record is from RNAcentral.
GGAUGGGGUAUAGCUCAGUGGUAGAGUGCAUGCUUAGCAUGCAUGAGGUCCUGGGUUCAAUCCCCAGUAUCUCCA